GCAUUGGCAAUUCAGUGGUAGAAUUCUCACCUUCCAUGUGGGAGAUCCGGGUUUGAUUCCCAGUCAAUACA
RNAcentral lists this transfer RNA (71 nucleotides) under Loxodonta africana (African savanna elephant). It matches the Rfam family "tRNA". Rfam says of the family: Transfer RNA (tRNA) molecules are approximately 80 nucleotides in length. Their secondary structure includes four short double-helical elements and three loops (D, anti-codon, and T loops). Lineage: Eukaryota; Metazoa; Chordata; Mammalia; Proboscidea; Elephantidae. The record is from Rfam by way of RNAcentral.